UUGCAGAAGCUGAUGACAAUUCAAGUGUCGGAGGGGAAAGCAGGACCGGUAGAUGCACUUUUUCCUUUGAAUCUUUAUCUUCCUAGGGCUGGUCCAUCAAAGGAAGUGGCGGCCUCGUGGCCCAAGGCGAACGAGUUGGUGAGGCUUUACGAAGGCCUUUGCAUUUCCAAAGCUGCAGCUGUAGCUGUGCUGUGUUCCUGGCUGGCUCCAGAUGGAAGUGUGUUAGCUUAAAUCACCGAGGCUGGCUUUAAUUACAAGCUUCACCCAGCGUGAGAUUUGCAGACCCCUGAACAACUGUACUUAUCGUGAGCCUUGGCACAGGCAUAAAGUCGUCUGGAAUGGACCCUCCAGAGACUGAGGCCUUUGCUCUGGCACACCAUCAGGGCCAGUGUGAUCUUGGUCUUAGCCUAUUUUCAAACCAUCUUCAGAUUAGAGUUGAAGGAAAUAAUCCAAGGAAAAACAGAUUACUUUGAAGGCUCUGCAGGAUGGGAAGGGGUGCCCAGGCGGUGACACCGACCAGCCAGCGGAGGUGGGGGAAGAUUUCCAGGUUCCCAGUCCCACCUUAUCCUAGCAAAGGAGUUCCCGCGAGCUCCCCCAGCUCAGCUCCUUUCCAUUGCCCCAUGAUGUGCAGGGAAGCAGCCUGAAAGGAGAGAGCCCCGCGAGCCGAUGGCACCCAUGGGACAGCGCUGGGUACACAAGAAGAGACUGCGUUAGGAAACAGUAAAAGCAGAACUGAAGUUGCCAAUGCAAUCUGAAAACCCUACUUAAAUAAUAAAUUUCCUGCAAAUGAUCUCCCUUUCCGAGCAUUGCUUGGACACGGGACCUUCCUUCCUGCAAGUAAGCUCUGAUCUUUAGUAAGCAUGCUUUGAAGGGAAGAGUUCUCUGUAAUCAUUGCCUGGGAAUAAUUUGCAGUGAAACUAAUUCAGGGGUGUGUGUGCAUGUGUAGCGUGACAAGCAUGGUUUGAGUCUGAGCCUUGAUCACAUGGAGAGCUUUUCCACAGUUCAAGUGCAUUACUUUUGGUCGUCCUUUGACAGCAGAAGCAGUAACGCUACUGUUAUCCUGUCAGCUGCAAUCAUCGAGGCUGUAAUUUUUCAAAAAUUUUUUAACUUUAAUUUCAGUAGAAGCAUCAACUGCUUAAGAGUACAAAACCCAAUAUUUGUUUAAAUGAAGGAACUAGGUAUAGAGAUACAGCCUUGUAGUCACGAUUUGUGCAACUAAAAUCUGUUAUGAAAACUGGUAGAAGGAAGAUUAUCUGAAUGCAAGUGAGCUUAUCUAAAUCAUUGAUGGACACUCUGGUGUUUACCAGGUUUGCGCUGUGGUGCUGCCUGGUUUUGAACGACGCUUUGCCUAGGUGAAGCAAGCGCGUCACUUUAGACUUCCGCACCUCACUGAAUAAAAAUUGGACAGAAAAAGCCUGGAGUCUGACUCUGCUUUCACCCCCACCCACCUGUCUUCUCCCCAAAGUCAAAGCCAAACUGGUGUUGUUCCUUGAGGCCGGGGCAGGCGCGGCUGGGCGACGUGCUGCGGGCGGGCGCUGGCUGCAGAGGGCUGCAGCGGGUCACCCUGCCACUACGCUGGGUGCUGCCAACGGCGCAGCCUGCUGCCCAGGGAAAUAUGCCAUUGUGGGUGAGGAAUCUGAGUGUCGCGUUGGUUUUCCAUUUUGUAUUUAUUUAAGAAAAAAAA
Molecule: long non-coding RNA, 1684 nt
Organism: Cygnus olor (mute swan)
Lineage: Eukaryota; Metazoa; Chordata; Aves; Anseriformes; Anatidae
Exons: 3
Source: RefSeq, a predicted model, not a curated record